CGCGUGACGUACGAGCAUCCUGGUUUUUUGAAGUUGUGAACGGAGACAGAAUAUCAUUUGAAGAGCAGCGUUGAUGUGCAGUGCAUUGGUUACCUCACGCUUAUCAGCUGUCUUUUCCAAAUUUGAGGGGGAUCGAUCAUUACCCAGUUUUCAUCCUGUCGUCGUACCUUCUAAAACAACGGCUUUAUAAGACACACAGAAUUGGCAAACUACCUACUCACUUCAUCCGAGAAGAUACUUGUGGGGGGCAAGGGACAAAGUUUCAACACUAAACACCCACACAGAUGCACAAUUGGGAUUGUACAAGGUGUCAGAUCGUGUCUGGAAGCCUCCGAAGAUACAAGAAUGGAUGCUCCAAAUGUAAAAACGUUUGAAUAAGAAGACCGUACGGAAUAGAGACGUAUUGGAAAUAAACACAGUUUUAAAGGACACUGUGUAUCAGAAGCUAAUAAGGUUCAACAGCCAUGUCUCCAUUCUUGAGGAUUGGCUUCUCCAGCUUUGAGAUGGACCCAGGACUUGCCUACCAUGAGGAAGUUCUCAAUCCAUACUGUGCAGUCUACAUGAAGGAGGCCGUAGAGACCG
Molecule: long non-coding RNA, 582 nt
Organism: Triplophysa rosa
Lineage: Eukaryota; Metazoa; Chordata; Actinopteri; Cypriniformes; Nemacheilidae
Exons: 3
Source: RefSeq, a predicted model, not a curated record